AGCCCUUUAUAUAUAAGAAAUUACACCGUCAUAGAAUAAUGAAAAGACUAAAGAAAGGAAAAACAAAUAUGGAAAGAGUACAAAUCAUAAUCUCUCCUCACGGUCAACUCUCUCUCUCUAGCAUUAAGUCGGUUAUGAACCGGGCCAGUUAUGGACAUCCACAAUAUGAUUUAUAACACUCCCCCUUGGAUGCCAUAACCAAACAGGGAUUGUAAUACGCUUUAGAUGUUGCCUCAUUAAAAUCUUACCAGGAAAACCCAGUGGGAUAAAACCAUGGUGAAGGAAA
Molecule: long non-coding RNA, 286 nt
Filed under: Brassica napus (rape)
Lineage: Eukaryota; Viridiplantae; Streptophyta; Magnoliopsida; Brassicales; Brassicaceae
Description: long non-coding RNA (BNAP_LNC009645)
Source: RNAcentral